CUUGGGAUGUCCUAUAUACACUGGCAAGAAGAAGAUUAGUUUAUUUACUAACUUGGCUACUAAAAUGAUCAAUAAUGUUGGAGGCCGGUAGAGUAAUUUUCUCAGUGCUCGAGGAAAGACUCUAAUCAUCAAGCACAUCCUUCAAUCUCAAACACUCCAUCUGGUUGCAGCUAUGGAACCUCCAAACACUGCACUUCAACAGAUCAAAAAACACUACUCAAACUUAUUUUGAUGUGAAGAGGUGGUGAAGGUUGAGAACAAUGGAAAAUCUUUGGUCUAAGUUCAUCAAAGCUAAUUACUGUCCUAAGACCAAUAUGAUAUGAAAGUUAUCACUUCUAAGAACUCCAACAUUUGGAUGAAUUUUGCUGCAAAUUAGACCACAAGUGGAGCAGAUUAUCAAAUGUGAAAUUAAUGAAGGCCAGAUUCUUUUCUGGUGGGACAACCGGAUUAAUGAACGCUCUCUAGCUCACAUAGUUCACCCCACGACUAAACCAGGGAGUGGCAUCAUAAGGGGUUUCAUAAUCAAUAAUCAGUGAGACCCAGAAGCUCUCAGGGAUCUACUCCUUGCUAAUAUUGUUCAUGAGAUCACUCUGAUAAACAUCAGAGAUAGUGAUAGAAAAGACAUUUGCAUAUGGUCCCAUAGUGCUAAUGAAAAUUUUAACUGUUCAUCUACUUGGGAAUGUGUAUACGGCCAGAAUUGGGGAGUUUGACUUUGGGGCUACUAUGCCGCUCCACGCCUAACCUCGAAGAAGCCCAAAGCAGAGCGUGAGGUGCGACCCAGAGGUGUUCUCCUCGAGGGAACAUAUCAGAGGCUCAUUAUGGUGGACCUCGGAGCAGUACAAUCGACGAUCGUAAUGGAAAGGCGGGAAAUUCCUAAAUACACGUGGUUAGAGCUGACCAGGUCUGCAAGAAUCGUACAAAUCCGUACUGAACCGUUAUACAACUGUACUAGUAGCAUUUCUUCAUCAUUUAUUAGAUAUGUACUAUGUUGGGAUUUAUCCCUCCUAUAUAAAGGGGACCAUUGUCAUCUUAUAAAAGAUUUGGAUUAUUACACAACAUAUUAAAUACAAUACAACAUUCUCUGCUCUUUGAUUAAAUAGUUGUUCUACUCACUUAUUGCUUAUUCUUUCAUUUUUCAUUUAUUGCUCAUUAUUAACCACAAAAGGCCAUCUUCGAGGCCAUCAUUAUCAUUGAUUCUUCAUCAAUUGUUCAUCGCUAUUAACCCCGUCUAGACCUCGAGGCCCUGCUUUAGCCAGCUCGAGUCCUAGCCUUGUGACCCCGUUGGUUUGCAUUUCUUACUUUCUUUACUUACACUUAGCAUCUAUUGCCCUAUAACUAGUAUUAAAAUAAAUCACAUAUUUUUAGAACCGCAAAAUUAAAUUAAAUUGUAGUUACAAUUUUCAAGGUAAACAGUUUGGUGCCCACCGUGGGGCUAAGAAUAAUAGUAAUUGUUUUCUAAAAACAUGAGUUACUCUUCACACUUUUUCUUGUCUAAGAAUCUCUUAUUUCAGGUAAAAAAAAUGUCUAACUUAGAAAAUACACGUGAAAACAAUGGUAUUGAGCUUCAGGGAGAGAACGGUGCAGACGCUGGUUUACCACUGCAAAACCCAGGGGUAGCACUAGCAGAUGUCGGUUUACCACCGCAAAACCCUGGGGAGGCACCAGCACAAAUCCCCAUUGAUGUGAGCUCGCAGAACGCUGUGCAUGUUUAUGUAUGCUCUCCUACCGACGGAAGUGUGCAUGGUGAGGAAAGAGACGUUAGUAUUCAAAUAAUUUUUGAAAUGUUGAAACACAACAAGUGGGUAUAGCUCAUAUACAAAGUUACCAAAAAAACCCAAACACAGUAGCACCGGAAACGGCUCCUCGAGUCGAGCAGGUAUCGGAGAGAUCGAGCAACAACGGGUCGGAAACAUACCCCGCUAUUAUGAAGAUACUCGAGGAUCUCACCAAAAGAAUUGAAUCAGGAUAAAAUAAGAUAGAAGAUAAAGAUAAAAGGUUGGAGACUUAUAACUCGAGGGUCAAUUAGAUCCCGGGCGUGCCCCCGAUUCUGAAAGGUGUAGAUUCAAAGAAGUUCAUACAGAAACCAUUCCCACCGAGUGUAGCUCCAAAGCCCAUCCCAAAGAAAUUCAGAAUGUGCGACGCCUCUAUGUAUAACGGGACCAUGGAUCCCAAUAAGCAUAUCACCGCUUAUACUUGUAUUGUAAAAGGAAAUGACUUGAAGGAUGACGAGAUAAAGUCUGUGUUGUUGAAGAAAUUUGGAGAAAUGCUAUCAAAAGGGGCUAUGAUGUGGUUUCAUAACUUGCCCUCAAAUUCAAUCAACUCAUUUGCCAUGUUGGUGGAUUCUUUUGUGAGUACGCACGCUGGUGCCAUCAAAGUCUCCACCAGGAAGUCCGAUGUCUUCAAAAUCAAAUAGAGAGAGAACGAGAUGCUAAGGGAAUUUGUAUCUUGUUUUCAGGUGGAGAGAAUGGAAUUAACACCAGUCUUCGAUGACCGGCCGGUACAGGCCUUCACUCAAGGCUUUAACGAAAGAAGCUCGGUAGCUUAAAGGUAGUUUAAAACAAAAUUUUAUCAAUUAUCCUGCCGUGACAUGGGCGGAUUUGCACAACAGGUACCAAUCAAAGAUCAGGGUCGAAGACGACCAACUAGGAGCCCCCUCGGGCUCAGUAUAUCCCAGCAGGCUCUUUAUAAAGGAGCAAAGGUUCACAGAAAGGGAGUCAAGAUCAAACAAAGAAAGAUACCAGCCGUAUGUAGAAGAUCGAAGAAACGCAUCAAGGCGUAACAUGCCUCGAGGCGUUCGAAGGAUAGAUCGAGGUCAAAAUUCCUAGGGACUCAUGGGUAAAGUCGGGUUCGAUAGAGGCACCCUGGCUAUCUGAGUACAAUUUCAUCAUCGAUAUCGCGGACAUCGCAUCAGCCAUAGGGAAAAUCAAAGAGGCCAGGUGGCCAAAACAAAUACUAUAAGACCCUUCACAGAGGAACCCUAACUUGAUAUGUAAAUAUCACAGCACUCACGGUCAUAGGACCGACGAUUGUAGGUAGCUUCGAGAAGAGGGAGCCUAACUGAUUAGUGAAGGGCACCUUCGAGAAUUCCACAGCGACUCAGCUAAAAACAAAUUUCGGGAAAGAGAGGCGAACAGGAAAAACAAAUCAGAAGAACCAUAGCACGUCAUCCACAUGAUCGUUGGAGGGGUCGACGCCCUAUGGGAACCCGUUUUCAAACGGACAAAAAUAUCCAUCACUAGUGAAAGGAAAACUCGGAGUUAUAUACCAAUGGAUGCUCUCACAUUCAGUGAAGAGGACAUUCAGACCUUGUGUCAGCCUCAUAAUGACGCACUGGUAAUUUUUUUUUUUAAAAUAAAAUUCAGACUAAAUGUGUGCUCGUAGAUCCAGGUAGCUCAGCCAUAAUAAUUAGGUCGAGGGUGGUGGAGUAGCUCGGACUGCUUGACCUGAUCAUAGCUGCCUCUCGAGUCCUCAAUAGAUUCCACAUAGCGAGUGAGACAACAAAAGGCAAAAUCAUCCUACCAGUCAAUGUAGCCGGUACAAUCCAAGAUACAAAGUUUCAUGUCAUCGAAGGUGACAUGAGAUACAAUACCUUACUUGGAAGGCUGUGGAUACACAGUAUGAGGGCAGUACCCUCGACCCUCCAUCAAACGAUGAAAUUUCCAAUCAAUGAUGGAAUAAAAGUGGUAUACAGGGAACAACACGCAACAAGAGAGAUGUUUGCGGUGCACGAUAUGGCACCGACAUCAACACCCUCCACAUCAAAGAGGCCAAAAAGCAAGUAAAAAUCAGCUAGCAACCUCAACCUUCAUUCUCGACUCUAUCCAAACAAGUGAGUAGAGGACAGUGCUGCAUCCCUAGAACAAGCAAUUGGAAUUUAUCAAAGCUCGAACGCCAUCAUUAAGGUACAACCCUCUCCUUUUUUAUUUGUGUUUUGUAUUAACUUAUUGCAGGUGUUUGAUUGAGAGGAAUCGAAAUGCCUUCCAGCUCGAAGGCUAUGGGUUUUAAAGCAUGCGUUGCGCUUUUUUUCCCUUAGACCAGAUUUUAUCCCGAACGGGUUUUACCAGCGAGGUUUUAACCAGGAAAUAUACAUAUUCAACCUAAGGAGACCUCAUCAAGUAUUCAAGGCUUCUCUUUGAUCAACCUCAAAUACUGAGGGGCAUCACCCUAGGAGGUCACCUCUUUAAAAAACUGAAACUAUGCCUAGGAGGACCUCGAUAGAAGAAUGAUGUAUUGGGCCAUACGGUCGAAUGAAUUGUGUCCAUAUAGAAUAAUUGGGCUUCCAAAAGGCAAAAAAAACAUGUACAAGUACAUAAAAUAAUUGAGGAAGCCUUUUUUACUUAUCAAAACACUCGAAGAAAUUCAAUACUUUCAUGUUAACCGUCUCAAGUGCCAAAAUCCCUUGAACAUUCGGG
This 4412-nucleotide long non-coding RNA is filed under the name Nicotiana tabacum (common tobacco). RNAcentral describes it as "long non-coding RNA (NTAB_LNC019269)". The record is from RNAcentral. Lineage: Eukaryota; Viridiplantae; Streptophyta; Magnoliopsida; Solanales; Solanaceae.